Molecule: ribosomal RNA, 497 nt
Filed under: uncultured bacterium
Lineage: Bacteria
Description: partial 16S ribosomal RNA
Rfam family: Bacterial small subunit ribosomal RNA
Source: RNAcentral
GAUGAACGCUGGCGGCGUGCCUAACACAUGCAAGUCGAACGGACAAACAGGGAGCUUGCUCCUUUCCGGUUAGCGGCGGACGUGUGAGUAACACGUGGAUAACCUACCUCUAAUUCUGGGAUAACCUCUGGAAACCACGUCUAAUACCGGAUAAUAUGUUGAACCGCAUCGUUCACUGGUGCAACGCACUUUUGCUGUCACUUAUCGCUGGUUCCGUGCCGCUUUUGCUAGUUUGUAAGGUCACGCCUUAGCCAGGCAACGAUGCGUAGCCGAACUGAGAGGCGGAUAGGCCACCCGGGAACGGAGCCACGGUCAAGACUCCUACGGGAGGCAGCAGUAGGGAAUCUGCGGCAAUGGGCGAAAGCAUGACGGAGCAAGGCCGCGUGAGUGACGAAGGCCUUCGGAUAGUAAAGCCCGGUUAUUGGGUAAGAACAAAUGUGGGAGUAAAAAAAGAGGUCGUGACGGUACCUAAAGAGAAAGCAACGGCUAACUACGUG